RNAcentral lists this ribosomal RNA (467 nucleotides) under uncultured bacterium. RNAcentral's name for it is "partial 16S ribosomal RNA". It matches the Rfam family "Bacterial small subunit ribosomal RNA", at positions 28 to 506 of the family's 1533-position model. The record is from RNAcentral.
GACGAACGCUGGCGGCGUGCUUAACACAUGCAAGUCGAACGGAAAGGCCCUGCUUUUGUGGGGUGCUCGAGUGGCGAACGGGUGAGUAACACGUGAGUAACCUGCCCUUGACUUUGGGAUAACUUCAGGAAACUGGGGCUAAUACCGGAUAGGAGCUCCUGCUGCAUGGUGGGGGUUGGAAAGUUUCGGCGGUUGGGGAUGGACUCGCGGCUUAUCAGCUUGUUGGUGGGGUAGUGGCUUACCAAGGCUUUGACGGGUAGCCGGCCUGAGAGGGUGACCGGCCACAUUGGGACUGAGAUACGGCCCAGACUCCUAUGGGAGGCAGCAGUGGGGAAUAUUGCACAAUGGGCGGAAGCCUGAUGCAGCAACGCCGCGUGCGGGAUGACGGCCUUCGGGUUGUAAACCGCUUUCACCUGUGACGAAGCGUGAGUGACGGUAAUGGGUAAAGAAGCACCGGCUAACUACGU